GGUUCUUGACCUCCUGGUGAUCCAGAAAUUGAAUGCAGAAGGUAGAUUGGAGAAGAAAGAAGCAAAGAAGGGGAGUUAUUUUGACAAGAAUGAGCUUUCAGCUAUCUUGAGAUUUGGAGCAGAGGAACUUUUUAAAGAAGAGAAGAAUGAAGAAGAAAGUAUAUUGAGAUGAUUUCUUUGGAGCAAUUCUUGACAACAUUUGUAGUUGAGGCCUUUAGAAUGGAAGAAUGUAUUUCACUAAUUUUUGUAUACAUUUCUUGUUUUGUAUUUAGUGAUAAAGGAAUCUGAAUUGGGCAUAAAUUAUGUUGUAAUAUGAUUUCUUAAACCUAGACUAGUAGACUAAAUAUUGUAAUUACAUUUGAGUAAUUAAUAAAAAUCUAUUUAUGUUACCUUA
Humulus lupulus (European hop) is the source of this 394-nucleotide long non-coding RNA. RefSeq lists it as uncharacterized. The record is from RefSeq and is a predicted model, not a curated record. The transcript is spliced from 3 exons. NCBI's taxonomy places the organism in Eukaryota, Viridiplantae, Streptophyta, Magnoliopsida, Rosales, Cannabaceae.